GGACGAUUAGCUCAGCGGGAGAGCGCUUCCCUGACACGGAAGAGGUCACUGGUUCAAUCCCAGUAUCGCGCACCA
RNAcentral lists this transfer RNA (75 nucleotides) under Streptomyces hydrogenans. RNAcentral's name for it is "tRNA-Val". It matches the Rfam family "tRNA". Rfam says of the family: Transfer RNA (tRNA) molecules are approximately 80 nucleotides in length. RNAcentral also lists the same sequence under 1 other name. Lineage: Bacteria; Bacillati; Actinomycetota; Actinomycetes; Kitasatosporales; Streptomycetaceae. The record is from RNAcentral.